GCGCCGGUGGUGUAAUGGCGUAGAGCAUUCCCGGCCGGUUUGAGGGAGGUGCGGGUUCGAGUCUCGCCUGGCGCU
Heligmosomoides polygyrus is the source of this 75-nucleotide non-coding RNA. The record is from Rfam. Lineage: Eukaryota; Metazoa; Nematoda; Chromadorea; Rhabditida; Heligmosomidae.